CGGGGUGUGGCCCAGCUUGGUAGGGCGCCUGACUGGGGGUCAGGAGGUCGCAAGUUCAAGUCUUGUCACUCCGA
RNAcentral lists this transfer RNA (74 nucleotides) under Eubacteriales bacterium. RNAcentral describes it as "tRNA-Pro". It matches the Rfam family "tRNA". Rfam says of the family: Transfer RNA (tRNA) molecules are approximately 80 nucleotides in length. Lineage: Bacteria; Bacillati; Bacillota; Clostridia; Eubacteriales. The record is from RNAcentral.